GAUGAACGCUGGCGGCGUGCCUAACACAUGCAAGUCGAACGGACUUUUCAUGAAGCCUAGCGAUUGAAAAGUUAGUGGCGGACGGGUGAGUAACGCGUGGGUAACCUGCCUUGUACUGGGGGACAACAGUUGGAAACGACUGCUAAUACCGCAUAAGCGCACAGCUUCGCAUGAAGCAGUGUGAAAAACUCCGGUGGUACAAGAUGGACCCGCGUCUGAUUAGCUGGUUGGUGAGGUAACGGCCCACCAAGGCAACGAUCAGUAGCCGGCCUGAGAGGGUGAACGGCCACAUUGGGACUGAGACACGGCCCAAACUCCUACGGGAGGCAGCAGUGGGGAAUAUUGCACAAUGGGGGAAACCCUGAUGCAGCAACGCCGCGUGAGUGAAGAAGUAUUUCGGUAUGUAAAGCUCUAUCA
RNAcentral lists this ribosomal RNA (417 nucleotides) under uncultured bacterium. RNAcentral's name for it is "bacterial SSU rRNA". It matches the Rfam family "Bacterial small subunit ribosomal RNA", at positions 28 to 438 of the family's 1533-position model. The record is from RNAcentral.